This 1446-nucleotide long non-coding RNA is filed under the name Zonotrichia albicollis (white-throated sparrow). RNAcentral describes it as "lncRNA (ENSZALG00000001924.1)". Lineage: Eukaryota; Metazoa; Chordata; Aves; Passeriformes; Passerellidae. The record is from RNAcentral.
AUGGAGGGGGGUCCAGUCUGGUUUGGGACCCCAGAAAGGGUUGGGGGCGAUGGGGAAGGGUGGGCAGGGGUCCAGGGGGGCAGUUGGGAGUUUUUCAUUUGGGAAACUCAGGGAAAUCCAGAGAAAUUGCAGUUUUUCUUCAGGGAAAUCCAGGAAAAUCGCAAUUUGUCAUCAGGGAAAUCCAGAGAAAUUGCAAUUUUUCAUCAGGGAAAUCCAAGGAAAUCCAGAGAGAUCCAGGAAAAUCACAAUUUGUCAUCAGGGAAAUCAAGAGGAAUUGCAGUUUUUUAUCAGGGAAACCCAGGGAGAUCCAGGGAAACCCAGGUAAAUCUGGGGAGAUCCAGGGAGACCCAGGGAAAUCGCAGUUUUUUAUCAGGGAAAUCCAGGGAAUCCAGGGAAAUCCGUGGAGAUCCAGGAAUUCCAGGGAAACCCAGGGAGAUCCAGAGAAAUUGCAGUUUUUCUUCAGGGAAAUCCAGGGAAACCCAGGGAGAUUCAGGGAGACCCAAGGAAAUCAUGGAAAUCCAGGGAAAUCCGGAGAAAUGCAGGGAGAUCCAGGGAAACCCUGGGAGAUCCAGGAAAAUCGCAGUUUGCCAUCAGGGAAAUCCAGAGAAAUUGCAGUUUUUCUUCAGGGAAAUCCAAGGAGACCCAGGGAAAUCGCAGUUUUUCUUCAGGGAAAUCCAGAGAAAUCGCAGUUUUUCUUCAGGGAAAUCCAGAGAAAUUGCAGUUUUUUAUCAGGGAUAUCCAGAGAAAUCGCAGUUUGCCAUCAGGGAAAUCCAGAGAAAUUGCAGUUUUUCAUCAGGGAAAUCCAGGGAAUCCAGGGAGAUCCAAGAAAUGCACAGUUUGUUAUCAGGGAAAUCCAGAGAAAUUGCAGUUUUUCUUCAGGGAAAUCCAAGGAAAUCCAGGAAAAUCACAAUUUGUCAUCAGGGAAAUCCAGAGAAAUUGCAGGUUUUUAUCAGGGAAUCCAGGGAAAUCCAUGGAGAUCCAGGGAGAUCCAGGGAAAUCGCAGUUUGCCAUCAGGGAAAUACAGAGAAAUUGCAUUUUUUAUCAGGGAAAUCCAGGAAUUCCAGGGAAAUCCGUGGAGAUCCAGGGAAACCCAGGGAAAUCCAGGGAAACCCAGGGAGAUCAGGGAGACCCAAGGAAAUCAUGGAAAUCCAGGGAAAUCCGGAGAAAUGCAGGGAGAUCCAGGGAAACCCAGGGAGAUCCAGGAAAAUCACAAUUUGUCAUCAGGGAAAUCAAGAGAAAUUGCAGUUUUUCUUCAGGGAAAUCCAGGGAAUCCAGGGAAACCCAGGGAGAUCCAGGGAAAUCCGGAGAGAUCCAGGGAAAUGGCAGGUUGCCAUCAGGGAAAUCCAGAGAAAUUGCAGUUUGCCAUCAGGGAAAUCCAGGGAAAUCGCAGUUUCUCAUCAGGGAAUCCCAGUGAAAUCGCAGUUUCUCAUCAGGGAAUCCCAGUGA